CACUGCCCCAGGGGGAGGAGAAGCAUGGGGAGGGUGAGGACAUGUGGCUGAGUCUCAGGCCCAGUGCAGGAGGGACUGAACAGGUCAGAGGGCAGGGCAGGGGGGAGGGCAACCAGGUGUGAGGAUUCCACAGUGUCCAGGACAGGACGGGCUGCGCCUGCUGUGCUCACGGCUGUCUAUGGGGCCAUACCUGCACUCUCCCACCUUGUCUGCCCUCCAGCCCCUUAGCUGGGAACCGGAGUGAAUCGGUUGGCCCUGCAUUCCCAGGACCAGACCGAAAGGCCCUGGUGUCUUCUUUCAGACUGAGAUUCCUCAGGAAGGAGACAGCCAGGCCUGCAGGGGGCGUGGAGGAGGCCAAUACCACCCCCAGUUAAUCCCUCAGGCCUCUAACCCACCUGCCUCCUCAACACAGGCCUCCAGAAGGAGUCUCAGGACGCCAUUAUUGUCCACUUCCUCCACAGUAUGAAGAGCUACAAUUCCUCUCCAUGGCCAAGACCGAGGUGCAAACAGGCUACAUUCGAAGACCUGGCAUGGUCUGUUCCCUUCUGGGCUCCCCACCCAGAUCCCUACCUCUCCCUGCAUCUUGCAACUUCUCCACACCCAGCCAUGUUAGAGAUCUUUUGACUAUAAGACUUUGCAUGAGACUUUCCCCAUUCCUGCAUCUCCAAGUCCUGGUCACCUUCAGGCUCAGUAGUAGAUGCCACCCAGCUGUGUGUAUGCACAAGUGUGUGUGUGAGAGUGAGAGUCUCAUAUGGUUUUGAGUGAAGUAAUAUUCAGCUAUUUACAGACUCCUUCAACAAGUACUAUUGACACACCACCUUGUAGGUGUCAAGGUGCAUCCGUGAACAUAGCAAAAAAAAAAAUCAUUAUAAUCAAGAAGAUGUCAUUCUGUAGACAAGAAGGAUAGAAAUCAAAAGAAACAAAGAGGAAAUAAUACAGAGCACACUGGGUAGAAAAUGUUUUUUGAGAGAAACCAUGUAGACUGAGCGGCACGUGACAUAUUGGGGAGCAUGAUCUACAACCAAGAGUAGGAGGAGGUGACAUUUGAGCAAAGACUUGAGGCAGUGACAAGGCAGGUUCUGUGUUUGCUUAAAAGAAAAUUACUCCAAGAAAAUGGAAAAGAAGGCACAGUGAGUGUAAGAGCUCUGACGUGGGAGCUGGCUUGGUGUUUCACUGGAAACAAGUGGCCAAGAUUGAGAGCACAGGAGCGUCAGGUGGGGAUGCUGGGAGGAUGGUGCAGACCUCGUGGGUGUGCAGACCUCAUAGGGGAAGAGACCCAGAGGGGGUGGACACCCAGUGGGUGUGCAGACCAUGUGAGCCUUGCUGAAAAUGCAACAAUCUGAAGCCUUUGAGGAGAGCAGAGAUAUGAUAGAACUUUCCUUUCAAUAGGAUCCCUGUGGCUGCUCUGCUCAGGACUGGCCUGAAUGGGUCCAUGACAGCACAACAGAGAUGGGGAAGGGAAAUGAUGCCUAUUGAAGACAGGAAGUGAUGUUGGCUCGAACCAAAGAGAGUGGGCAUUUAUUUUGGACACAUUAUGAGGAUAAAACAAACAGGAUUUUGUUUCUGAGGUAAUGGGUGUGGUGUGGGGGGGAAAAAGAGAGAGCCAAGAAGGGUCUGGAGAGGGUUGUUCUCUGUGUUUCUCUGCAUUGCUCCUGGAGAGGGCGUCUCUGACUUCCCUCCUGUAUCAGCUUCUGAGGGCCUUUGUCACAAAGGACACACUCUCAGUGUCUUAAAACAAAGGAAAUGUAAUCAAUCCCUCACAAGGAGGCCAGAAAGCUGUGUAAGGAAUGAAGCACAUUUCUUCCCUCUGCCCUGCUAAGUUCUCCCCUGGGACCUGUAACACAGGACAGGUGAAGGACAGGAAAGCAUGAAAGUGUAUUUAAUAUGAGAUUUAUGUGGCACAGGAGCCCUCAUAAGGAAAUGAAGACCCAAAUAAAUGGUUAAAUCUCA
Molecule: long non-coding RNA, 1950 nt
Organism: Felis catus (domestic cat)
Lineage: Eukaryota; Metazoa; Chordata; Mammalia; Carnivora; Felidae
Exons: 2
Source: RefSeq, a predicted model, not a curated record